UACGUAGGUGGCAAGCGUUGUUCGGAAUUAUUGGGCGUAAAGGGCGCGUAGGCGGCUUGUUAAGUCGGCUGUGAAAGCCCGGGGCUCAACCCCGGAGGGUCAGCCGAUACUGGCAGGCUAGAGUACGGAAGAGGUAGCUGGAAUUCCCGGUGUAGCGGUGAAAUGCGUAGAUAUCAGGAAGAACACCCGUGGCGAAGGCGGUUCUCUGGGACGGUACUGACGCUGAGACGCGAAAGCGUGGGUAGCAAACAGG
RNAcentral lists this ribosomal RNA (253 nucleotides) under uncultured bacterium. RNAcentral's name for it is "partial 16S ribosomal RNA". It matches the Rfam family "Bacterial small subunit ribosomal RNA", at positions 524 to 776 of the family's 1533-position model. The record is from RNAcentral.